GACGAACGCUGGCGGCGUGCUUAACACAUGCAAGUCGAACGGAAAGGCCCUGCUUUUGUGGGGUGCUCGAGUGGCGAACGGGUGAGUAACACGUGAGUAACCUGCCCUUGACUUUGGGAUAACUUCAGGAAACUGGGGCUAAUACCGGAUAGGAGCUCCUGCUGCAUGGUGGGGGUUGGAAAGUUUCGGCGGUUGGGGAUGGACUCGCGGCUUAUCAGCUUGUUGGUGGGGUAGUGGCUUACCAAGGCUUUGACGGGUAGCCGGCCUGAGAGGGUGACCGGCCACAUUGGGACUGAGAUACGGCCCAGACUCCUACGGGAGGCAGCAGUGGGGAAUAUUGCACAAUGGGCGGAAGCCUGAUGCAGCAACGCCGCGUGCGGGAUGACGGCCUUCGGGUUGUAAACCGCUUUCGCCUGUGACGAAGCGUGAGUGACGGUAAUGGGUAAAGAAGCACCGGCUAACUACGUGCCAGCAGCCGCGGUGAUACGUAGGGUGCGAGCGUUGUCCGGAUUUAUUGGGCGUAAAGGGCUCGUAGGUGGUUGAUCGCGUCGGAAGUGUAAUCUUGGGGCUUAACCCUGAGCGUGCUUUCGAUACGGGUUGACUUGAGGAAGGUAGGGGAGAAUGGAAUUCCUGGUGGAGCGGUGGAAUGCGCAGAUAUCAGGAGGAACACCAGUGGCGAAGGCGGUUCUCUGGGGCCUUUCCUGACGCUGAGGAGCGAAAGCGUGGGGAGCGAACAGGCUUAGAUACCCUGGUAGUCCACGCUGUAAACGGUGGGUACUAGGUGUGGGGUCCAUUCCACGGGUUCCGUGCCGUAGCUAACGCUUUAAGUACCCCGCCUGGGGAGUACGGCCGCAAGGCUAAAACUCAAAGGAAUUGACGGGGCCCCGCACAAGCGGCGGAGCAUGCGGAUUAAUUCGAUGCAACGCGUAGAACCUUACCUGGGUUUGACAUGGAUCGGGAGUGCUCAGAGAUGGGUGUGCCUCUUUUGGGGUCGGUUCACAGGUGGUGCAUGCCUGUCGUCAGCUCGUGUCGUGAGAUGUUGGGUUAAGUCCCGCAACGAGCGCAACCCUUGUUCACUGUUGCCAGCACGUUAUGGUGGGGACUCAGUGGAGACCGCCGGGGUCAACUCGGAGGAAGGUGGGGAUGACGUCAAGUCCUCAUGCCCCUUAUGUCCAGGGCUUCACGCAUGCUACAAUGGCUGGUACAGAGAGUGGCGAGCCUGUGAGGGUGAGCGAAUCUCGGAAAGCCGGUCUCAGUUCGGAUUGGGGUCUGCAACUCGACCUCAUGAAGUCGGAGUCGCUAGUAGUCGCAGAUCAGCAACGCUGCGGUGAAUACGUUCCCGGGGCU
RNAcentral lists this ribosomal RNA (1347 nucleotides) under uncultured bacterium. RNAcentral describes it as "bacterial SSU rRNA". It matches the Rfam family "Bacterial small subunit ribosomal RNA", at positions 28 to 1381 of the family's 1533-position model. The record is from RNAcentral.